RNAcentral lists this ribosomal RNA (379 nucleotides) under uncultured eukaryote. RNAcentral's name for it is "partial 18S ribosomal RNA". It matches the Rfam family "Eukaryotic small subunit ribosomal RNA", at positions 592 to 976 of the family's 1831-position model. The record is from RNAcentral.
UCAAGGUGUAUAUCGCCAUUGCUGCGGUUAAAAAGCUCGUAGUUGGAUCUGCGCCUUCGGACUCGGUCCGCCCAACGGGUGUGAACUGGGAUCCAAGGCUUAUACUGCUGGUUUUCCCUUGAUGCUCUUUACUGGGUGUCUUGGGUGGCUAGCGAGUUUACUUUGAAAAAAUUAGAGUGCUUAACACAGGCUAACGCCUGAAUACUUGUGCAUGGAAUAAUAGAAUAAGACCACGGUUCUAUUUUAUUGGUUUUCGGAACUGUGAUAAUGGUUAAGAGGGACAGACGGGGGCAUUCGUAUCGCUGCGUGAGAGGUGAAAUUCUUGGACCGCAGCGAGACGCCCUACUGCGAAAGCAUUUGCCAAGGAUGUUUUCAUUGA